Molecule: ribosomal RNA, 1244 nt
Filed under: metagenome
Description: bacterial LSU rRNA
Rfam family: Bacterial large subunit ribosomal RNA
Source: RNAcentral
UGAUGACGAGAGCUUUAAGGCGUCGAAGUAGUGUAUGUCAUACUUCCAAGAAAAGCUUGCACUGUCAUAGAUAAAAAACGCCUGUACCAUAACCGACACAGGUGGGUAGGUAGAGUAUACUAAGGGGCGCGAGAUAACUCUCUCUAAGGAACUCGGCAAAAUAACUCCGUAACUUCGGGAGAAGGAGUGCCUUAUUCUUAAGGUUGCAAUAACAAGAUCCAAGCAACUGUUUAUCAAAAACACAGGUCUCCGCUAAGUCGUAAGACGAUGUAUGGGGGCUGACGCCUGCCCAGUGCCAGAAGGUUAAAGAAGCUGGUUAGCAUUUGCGAAGCUAGUAACUGAAGCCCUGGUGAACGGCGGCCGUAACAAUAACGGUCCUAAGGUAGCGAAAUUCCUUGUCGGGUAAGUUCCGACCCGCACGAAAGGCGUAAUGAUUUGGAUACUGUCUCGGAGAGGGGCUCGGUGAAAUAGACUUGUCUGUGAAGAUGCGGACUACCUGCACCAGGACAGAAAGACCCUAUGAAGCUUUACUGUAACUUGAAAUUGAAAUUGGACUUUAUUCGCGCAGUAUAGGUGGGAGGCGUUGAUUAUAAUCUUGCGGGAUUAUUGGAGCCAUUAGUGAGAUACCACUCUUGUAAUGUUAGAUUUCUAACUUUGAAUCAUUAUCUGGUCAAAGAACAGUUUCAGGCGGGCAGUUUGACUGGGGCGGUCGCCUCCCAAACGGUAACGGAGGCGUACAAAGGUUUCCUCUGAACGGUUAGAAAUCGUAUCUAGGGUGUAUGCAUAAGGAAGCUUGACUGUGAGACCUACAAGUCGAGCAGGGACGAAAGUCGGUCUUAGUGAUCUGACGGUACUGAGUGGAAAGGCCGUCACUCAACGGAUAAAAGUUACUCUAAGGAUAACAGGCUGAUCUCCCCCAAGAGUUCACAUCGACGGGGAGGUUUGGCACCUCGAUGUCGGCUCAUCGCAUCCUGGGGCGGUAGUACGUCCCAAGGGUUGGGCUGUUCGCCCAUGAAAGCGGUACGCGAGCUGGGUUCAGAACGUCGUGAGACAGUUCGGUCCAUAUCCGGUGUAGGCGUUAGAAUAUUGAGAGGAGCCUUCUUUAGUACGAGAGGACCGAGAAGGACAUACCUCUGGUGUACCAGUUAUCGUGCCAACGGUAGACGCUGGGUAGCUAUGUAUGGAGUGGAUAACCGCUGAAAGCAUCUAAGUGGGAAGCCCACCUCAAGAUAAGUAUUCUCAUC